UAGGCAACUGAGGGAAGCUGGAGUGGAAAAGGUGGUCUACUCCAGGGACAAGCACACAAUUGGCUGUCCAGUGCCAGAUAAGCAUCCCUGAAAACAGAUACACAAGUAACUUUGUAUAGACUGAAUUGGUUAUAUUACGAGUCUGGAGUUAUUGAUACCUCUGUCAUAGAAGCUUUCCUGCUCAUAGCAGUAAGAUCAUGGACAUCCACAUGACUUCUGGCUGCAUCAUGAAACCUCAACAUGGUCCCCAGUGGCAGCAUGGACCAUGAACCUCCUUCGGCUUAUCUUCUUUAAAAACCUACUUUAAUAAGGGUUCUUAAACUCUUCAACCUCUCUUAUAGCCAACUCUCCAAAGGAAUAGAAACCCUGACUAAUACAACUAGCAAGGAGGAUUAGUGCCAGAGCAUCAUCCAAUAUUUAUUCAAUUCAACUAUUUCCAAGUAUCAUGUGUCCUCCCAAGCAUCCGCUACAGAAAAACAUCACAUCCUCUUCCACCAGACCAUUUCCAGAAAACCACCAUGUGUCUACUUCAUCAAAACAUCUUCUCAUAAGACACUUUCCAGAAAAACAUCGCAUGAUGCGUUUUUAAUGAAACCAGCCAUUCCCACUUCAGAUCUCAUUUUGGACCUCAAAAGCACAGAUGUCUUAUUAUACUAGAAUGAAGAAUGUGAGCUACAGUCAGUAUUUUGAUGAGGAGCUAAAUUCUGAUUAAGGUCUCUCUGACAAGGACUUAAAUUUC
Molecule: long non-coding RNA, 739 nt
Organism: Mus musculus (house mouse)
Lineage: Eukaryota; Metazoa; Chordata; Mammalia; Rodentia; Muridae
Product: predicted gene, 41277
Exons: 4
Source: RefSeq, a predicted model, not a curated record